RNAcentral lists this ribosomal RNA (371 nucleotides) under uncultured bacterium. RNAcentral describes it as "partial 16S ribosomal RNA". It matches the Rfam family "Bacterial small subunit ribosomal RNA", at positions 338 to 707 of the family's 1533-position model. The record is from RNAcentral.
CCUACGGGAGGCAGCAGUGAGGAAUAUUGGUCAAUGGCCGGAAGGCUGAACCAGCCAAGCCGCGUGAAGGACGAAGGUGCCAAGCAUUGUAAACUUCUUUUGUCAAGGGACAAAAUCAGGCUCGAGCGCCUGACCGAGGGUACCUGAAGAAAAAGCAUCGGCUAACUCCGUGCCAGCAGCCGCGGUAAUACGGAGGAUGCGAGCGUUAUCCGGAUUUAUUGGGUUUAAAGGGUGCGUAGGCGGACGGUUAAGUCAGCGGUAAAAGCCCGGGGCUCAACCCCGGCGAGCCGUUGAAACUGGCUGUUUGGAGAGGUGGAGAGGGAUGCGGAAUGCGCAGUGUAGCGGUGAAAUGCGUAGAUAUUGCGCAGAAC